This 497-nucleotide ribosomal RNA is filed under the name uncultured bacterium. RNAcentral describes it as "partial 16S ribosomal RNA". It matches the Rfam family "Bacterial small subunit ribosomal RNA", at positions 28 to 507 of the family's 1533-position model. The record is from RNAcentral.
GAUGAACGCUGGCGGCGUGCCUAAUACAUGCAAGUCGAGCGAACGGACGAGAAGCUUGCUUCUCUGAUGUUGGCGGCGGACGGGUGAGUAACACGUGGAUAACCUACCUAUAAGACUGGGAUAACUUCGGGAAACCGGAGCUAAUACCGGAUAAUAUUUUGAACCGCAUGGUUCAAAAGUGAAAGACGGUCUUGCUGUUACUUAUAGAUGGAUCCGCGCUGCAUUAGCUAGUUGGUAAGGUAACGGCUUACCAAGGCAACGAUGCAUAGCCGACCUGAGAGGGUGAUCAGCCACACUGGAACUGAGACACGGUCCAGACUCCUACGGGAGGCAGCAGUAGGGAAUCUUCCGCAAUGGGCGAAAGCCUGACGGAGCAACGCCGCGUGAGUGAUGAAGGUCUUCGGAUCGUAAAACUCUGUUAUUAGGGAAGAACAUAUGUGUAAGUAACUGUGCACAUCUUGACGGUACCUAAUCAGAAAGCCACGGCUAACUACGUG